GAUGAAGAACGCAGCGAAAUGCGAUAAGUAAUGUGAAUUGCAGAAUUCAGUGAAUCAUCGAAUCUUUGAACGCACAUUGCGCCCGCCAGUAUUCUGGCGGGCAUGCCUGUUCGAGCGUCAUUACAACCCUCAGGCCCCCGGGCCUGGCGUUGGGGAUCGGCGGAGCCCCCCGUGGGCACACGCCGUCCCCCAAAUACAGUGGCGGUCCCGCCGCAGCUUCCAUCGCGUAGUAGCUAACACCUCGCGACUGGAGAGCGGCGCGGCCACGCCGUAAAACACCCAACUCUUCUGAAGUUGACCUCGAGUCAGGUAGGAAUACCCGCUGAACUUAAGCAUAUCAAUAAGCGGAGGA
Molecule: unclassified non-coding RNA, 352 nt
Filed under: soil metagenome
Description: partial contains 5.8S ribosomal RNA, internal transcribed spacer 2, and large subunit ribosomal RNA
Rfam family: 5.8S ribosomal RNA (bases 1-120)
Source: RNAcentral